RNAcentral lists this RNase P RNA (404 nucleotides) under Streptococcus pneumoniae R6. RNAcentral's name for it is "Ribonuclease P-RNA component". It matches the Rfam family "Bacterial RNase P class B". Rfam says of the family: Ribonuclease P (RNase P) is a ubiquitous endoribonuclease, found in archaea, bacteria and eukarya as well as chloroplasts and mitochondria. Its best characterised activity is the generation of mature 5'-ends of tRNAs by cleaving the 5'-leader elements of precursor-tRNAs. Lineage: Bacteria; Bacillati; Bacillota; Bacilli; Lactobacillales; Streptococcaceae. RNAcentral also lists the same sequence under 1 other name. The record is from RNAcentral.
GAUGUGCAAUUUUUGGAUAAUCGCGUGAGGAGAAUUGCUUCUCAUGAGGAAAGUCCAUGCUAGCACAGGCUGUGAUGCCUGUAGUGUUUGUGCUAGGCGAAACCAUAAGCCUAGGGACGAGAAAUCGUUACGGCAGUUGAAAUGGCUAAGUCCUUGGAUAGGCCAGAGUAGGCUUGAAAGUGCCACAGUGACGGAGUCUUUCUGGAAACAGAGAGAGUGGAACGCGGUAAACCCCUCAAGCUAGCAACCCAAAUUUUGGUCGGGGCAUGGAGUACGCGGAAACGAACGUAGUAUUCUGACUGCUAUCAGCUAGAGCUGUUAGUGGUAGACAGAUGAUUAUCGAAGGAAGUGGUCCUAGUCACUUCUGGAACAAAACAUGGCUUAUAGAAAAUUGCAUAUAGGUU